RNAcentral lists this long non-coding RNA (783 nucleotides) under Rattus norvegicus (Norway rat). RNAcentral's name for it is "long non-coding RNA NONRATT028711". Lineage: Eukaryota; Metazoa; Chordata; Mammalia; Rodentia; Muridae. The record is from RNAcentral.
UUAUCACUCAUGUACCAUGUUCCCAUGAAUUUCAGGAGCUUUCUAAGGGGGGGGGUGUGUGUGUCAAGCUCUUCCUAGAAUAGAACCAUUACCUUUCAAAAAAGAAAGUUGAAUUUGGGCAGCUCAGCAGUGCCUGUUGGAACUUGCAAACUCGGUUGGCACCGGGCAAGGAGAUGCCCUGAGGAGAGGGCAUUUAGCAAAGUCAGGCCAGAGGUCCAGGGUCCUGCCCUGCCUCCUUCCUGUCAUGGGUGCUAGCAGCUCCAGGAGCUGAUGACACUGCAUUCAGGCAGCAUGACCUUGCCUAGCUCUCCACCUUCAGUUCAGGCAGAGCAGGCUCAAUGGAGUUCACUGAAUCAGCCCUCAGCCAUUGCAACAAAGAACACCAUGCGGUCUCCAAAAACCUUUCAGCUUCACCUUGUGCUUCUCCUACUCCUGGACUGGGGGCUCUUGUGGGGGGGGCAACUUGGGCAAAUUUCAACCCCCAAGUGCCAGGCAGAGCACACUUUGACCCCUUACUCAGCUAACCCUCCAGCCCCAAUCUUGUAUUAACUGUCUUCUGUCCUCCUCAGUGAGUUUUGUUUGGCUUCAUCCCCUGAGGCAGUCAAGAAAGCUGCCCAAUAAAUAUCAGUAUAAAAGCUUAGAACCUAGAAGUGGCUAAAACUGCUCAGCGUGAGUGAGAGUAGACUGCAAGCUCCCUCUUACCCAGUUUGGAGAAUGAGUUGGACAUGAUGGGGUGGGGUUGGGGGAGAAUGGUUAGCCCCAAACUUGUAAAAAAAAAAAAAA